Molecule: microRNA precursor, 87 nt
Filed under: Chlorocebus sabaeus (green monkey)
Lineage: Eukaryota; Metazoa; Chordata; Mammalia; Primates; Cercopithecidae
Description: miRNA (ENSCSAG00000024281.1)
Source: RNAcentral
AUUAAGGUUGGUGCAAAAGUAAAUGUGGCCUUUGGCAUUAAAAGUAUUGGCAAAAACCACAAUUACUUUUGCACCAACCUAAUAUAA